UAUAUUAUAGUUUAUAAAAACAUUAAAUUGCAAAUUUAAAAAUAUUUAAAGUAAAUUAAUAUAU
Molecule: transfer RNA, 64 nt
Filed under: Pheidole hyatti
Lineage: Eukaryota; Metazoa; Arthropoda; Insecta; Hymenoptera; Formicidae
Description: tRNA-Cys
Source: RNAcentral